RNAcentral lists this unclassified non-coding RNA (288 nucleotides) under Hevea brasiliensis (rubber tree). Lineage: Eukaryota; Viridiplantae; Streptophyta; Magnoliopsida; Malpighiales; Euphorbiaceae. The record is from RNAcentral.
UCUUGGAAUAGGCAUUCUCUGGCUUCGCAAUCUCCUUCAUGGAGUUAACAGAGGAGGCAUCGGCCAGACUCGUGAAAGACUUUGAUUUUCCACUAUAGAACUUUGAGAUGCCUUUUCUGACAGGCAAAACCUCCUCCAAGGAGUCCAUCAUAUCCAGUGGCCCUUUAUAGGAGCUCUGAACCUCAUCAUUCUCGCCGCUAUCCUCACCGUCGGAGGAUCUAGCGGACUGAUCACUAUUCCUCCCGAUCGAAGAAGACGAAGAAGUAGAAGCGGAGCUGCAAGUAUUAG